GAAAUGCGAUACUUGGUGUGAAUUGCAGAAUUCCGUGAAUCAUCGAAUCUUUGAACGCACAUUGCACUCUGUUUCGGCAGAGUAUGCCUGUUUGAGAAUCUAUAGUAUUCAUUUCAUGUGUUCGGCUAACGCCGGACCUUGAAGAUCUGAGGCUUCCCACUUACACUGGGUGCUUUUAAAACUAUCGUUACUUAUAUUUCACCGGAAAAGUAUGUGUAUGGAGUCUAACGACUUCUCUAAUGCUCGGUACAGUGAAAAGACUGGAUCUUAAAGCGUGCCUGCAAAGUCAUCUCUUUUUGGUCUGGUCUAUUUAGUACUCAACUAUUAAAGUCCAUAGCCUUGCGCUGUGGAUUUGAACCAUGGUCUCAAAUCAGGCAGGAAGACCCGCUGAACUUAA
RNAcentral lists this unclassified non-coding RNA (397 nucleotides) under uncultured Chytridiomycota. RNAcentral's name for it is "sequence contains ITS1". The stretch from base 1 to 101 matches the Rfam family "5.8S ribosomal RNA", at positions 50 to 154 of the family's 154-position model. The record is from RNAcentral. Lineage: Eukaryota; Fungi; Chytridiomycota.